AGCAGCCGCGGUAAUUCCAGCUCCAAUAGCGUAUAUUAAAGUUGUUGCAGUUAAAAGCUCGUAGUUGAAUUUCGGGAUCAAUUUAUUGGUCGUGCGAUAGUACGUACUGGUAUUAUUGGUUCCUACCUUCUGAUGAACCAUGAUGUCAUUAAUUUGGUGUUAUGGGGAAUCAGGACUGUUACUUUGAAAAAUUAGAGUGUUUAAAGCAGGCUCACGCUUGAAUACAUUAGCAUGGAAUAAUGAAAUAGGACGUUUGAUUCUAUUUUGUUGGUUUCUAGGAUCGACGUAAUGAUUAAUAGGGAUAGUUGGGGGCAUUAGUAUUCAAUUGUCAGAGGUGAAAUUCUUGGAUUUAUUGAAGACUAACUACUGCGAAAGCAUUUGCCAAGGAUGUUUUCAUUAAUCAAGAACGAAAGUUAGGGAUCGAAGACGAUCAGAUACCGUCGUAGUCUU
Molecule: ribosomal RNA, 450 nt
Filed under: uncultured Glomeromycotina
Lineage: Eukaryota; Fungi; Glomeromycota
Description: SSU rRNA
Rfam family: Eukaryotic small subunit ribosomal RNA
Source: RNAcentral